GGCUCGCGGCCUAUUAGCUUGUUGGUGGGGUAACGGCCUACCAAGGCGAUGAUGGGUAGCUGGUCUGAGAGGACGAUCAGCCACACUGGGACUGAGACACGGCCCAGACUCCUACGGGAGGCAGCAGUUAGGAAUUUUCCGCAAUGGGCGAAAGCCUGACGGAGCAACGCCGCGUGAGUGAUGAAGACCUUCGGGUUGUAAAGCUCUGUCGGAGGGGAAGAACACAAUGACGGUACCCUCCAAGAAAGCCCCGGCUAACUACGUGCCAGCAGCCGCGGUAAUACGUAGGGGGCGAGCGUUAUCCGGAUUUACUGGGCGUAAAGCGCGUUAAGGCGGCCGACAAAGUUGGUGGUGAAAUUUCAGGGCUCAACUCUGAAACUGCCUCCAAUACUGGUUGGCUUGAGUGCGAGAGAGGAAGGUGGAAUUCCCGGUGUAGUAGUGAAAUGCGUAGAUAUCGGGAGGAACACCAGUGGCGAAGGCGGCCUUCUGGCUCGCAACUGACGCUGUAGCGCGAAAGCGUGGGGAGCGAACGGGAUUAGAUACCCCGGUAGUCCACGCCCUAAACGAUGUGCACUAGGUGUUGGGCGUAUUGACGCGCUCAGUGCCGCAGCUAACGCAUUAAGUGCACCGCCUGGGGAGUACGGUCGCAAGAUUAAA
RNAcentral lists this ribosomal RNA (657 nucleotides) under uncultured bacterium. RNAcentral describes it as "bacterial SSU rRNA". It matches the Rfam family "Bacterial small subunit ribosomal RNA", at positions 228 to 898 of the family's 1533-position model. The record is from RNAcentral.